AUCUAUACAAAGGUGACAAAAUCAAAAAGAAGAGAAAAGAAGAUAGUUGGCAAAAUCUUCAACGAGCUCCACGAUGGUUCACCCCCUGAAUCUUAUGUCAAAUAUCAAAACUUGCUCAUACAGACCCUUAGUAUUUUCCAUGUUUGUGAAAAUGUGACAGUGGCACAGCCAAUCAAAAAGGAGGUACUGAAUCUCUUGCAGCAGUCAGGGUUAAGUGACAGGGACUCUUGGCUGAAAGUCAUGCACAACCUCAAGUGCGAUGACUUCACUGCGAAGUGGAUUGUCGAGAGAUAUAACAUAUUCCAGAGCAAAAUUGACAUUUCAGACUUCUCGUUUGAUGCCUACUGCGCACUCCUAAAAGCAUUGGAUACCCCUGUUGCGAACACAGAUAAGAUCCCCUUCAUGAUAGAUCUAAAGGAGACUCCCUCUUCUCUAGAAGAACUUGCAAAAAAUAUAGAAAAACUAGAGUUCCAAGUCAACCAAACUAUCCUCAUGGAUCUUUUCAAAGGAGUUCCUUCCGAAAUAACUGAAUCGCAAGAAGAUGCAUUCAAAUUCUCCUCUCAAACUGCAAGAGGUAUGUGGGCAUUUGGAGUUCAAAGUUCCAGGUGCCUCCGACUAUGAAAACCCUCUUCAUAAGGCUGCCCAACAAGGACGCCAUGAACACAUUCCUGGCCUCUCUAGCAAUGACAGCAGAGCUGACAGAAUUAAGGAUCUGCAUCAGUGUCAACAUCGGAGAAGUGCUUUGCCCAAUUCCAGAAGGUAUUCAAGGUGUCUCCUUGUACAUCAGUGAUAUCCAGAGCGAAGAGGAAGUUGAAAAGGUCCCAAAGAUCCUUUGUGGGCUCCGACCGCAGGAAAAAGACAGAUCUUUCCCCGCCCUCUCCUUUCCUCGGUGCUCCCUGGGUGAAAAGGGACAUCACAAACUCGUGGACUCCCUCGCCGGAUUCACUGUGAAAGUGUGGAUCCAGUUACCAGAAGACAUAAAACCAGAGGGUGACGUCAGUGAGGAAAUAUCUGCAAAAGCUCAGAAACUGACUCAGUGUGAACAUGGUAUCAUGUGUCCACUGCUGCUGCUGCCUGUGCCCUUCCUGAUGCCCUUGACGUAGUCGAUAUUGAUGUUUGGGGUGAUGAUGGGGCUGUAACCAUCAUCCCCAGAAGUUGCCCUUGACCAGGUGAUUACAGAUGCUGAAUCUGUCAUGCAGAAAACCAUCAAACUGGUUAAUGAACCACAUCACAGAGAAGUAUCCUGGAGUCUGUACCUCGAGAGGCUCCUGAAAGAGUCUGGUGAAAUUAACCCAUUCUUCAAUUCUUCUUCCGGACGGAACUUGAGCUUUUGUUUUAGAAACUGAAGAAGUCAUUGAAAGAAGGAGAUUUGAAAGUUUCAUUUAAACUCUUCCCACAUAUGAGAGAUGCGUUUCAGGUACUGCAGGAAGAAUCUUCAUCAUCCAGACAUGUCAUGCCUCUUCCUGCUGUUCCUUCGACAUCUUCCAUGGUGCCUCAGCCUUCAACACCCUUCACGCCUCAGGCUGUGCCUUCAGCAUCCUUCACGCCUCAGCCUGUGCCUUUGAAAGUCUUGCUCAAUCAAGAAACUUCCAAACCAGAUCUAUUUUUUCACCUGUUGCAGCAGCAAACAGCUCUACUUCGGGGAGAACGUCUGUCACCUUGGGCAAGUUUUCCUGGGUCGUCAACACCCAUGCAAGUCAUGACACCGCCAUUACCUCUCACAAUACCUAAUCUUAGCCAAAUCAUGAAUGAAAGUUCCCUGGAAAGAAUGUUUCCCUGUACGACGAGUCCUGCUUCUUCGAUUAAUACGCCUUAUACUUCAAGUGUCAUUACCACAACGGCUCCUAGUACAGAUUUUGCUUUCCUGUUGUUACUCCUUUUUGUUAUUGUGUAAACAAUAACAAAAAGGAAACUUCUUGUAACAGUUUUCUCAAAUAACGUUCCAUGUGAAUUCUUGUGACACCUUUAAUUCUGCAACUAUGCACUGAGAUUUUGAUUAAUUUUCUAUCAAACUUUAUUUUGAAUAAAAGUUGUUUCCCUUUCUGUUAUUGUUAACACAAUAACAAAAAGGGAACUUCUUGUAAUAGUUUAUAUGGUAUUUGUACUAAACAUUUUCCUAAUCAAAUACUAACUUAUUUUCAUUAUAUCCAGAUAUUGCUGGUAAUUCAAAACUUCCUGAUCAUUCAUUUUGUGCCUCGGUCAGCGCCUGGAAUGGGAAUGAGUGCCAAAU
This is an RNA transcript of Macrobrachium nipponense, 2230 nucleotides long. RefSeq lists it as uncharacterized. The record is from RefSeq and is a predicted model, not a curated record. Lineage: Eukaryota; Metazoa; Arthropoda; Malacostraca; Decapoda; Palaemonidae. The transcript is spliced from 6 exons.